UCCACCUUGGUGCAAAUCCAAGUGAAAGUA
This 30-nucleotide transfer RNA is filed under the name Vidua paradisaea (paradise whydah). RNAcentral describes it as "partial tRNA-Leu". Lineage: Eukaryota; Metazoa; Chordata; Aves; Passeriformes; Viduidae. RNAcentral also lists the same sequence under 10 other names. The record is from RNAcentral.